UUCAAGUGAUACUACAUAAUUUUAAAAAUAUUUAUUUAUUUAUUUCACCUUUAUUUAACCAGGUAGGCUAGUUGAGAACAAGUUCUCAUUUGCAACUGAGAUACCAAGAUAAAGCAAAGCAGUUUGACACAUACAAUCAAUAAUACAGCAGGAAAAUCUAUAUAAAGCAUGUGCAAAUGACGUAGGAUAAGAGAGGUAAGGCAAUAAAUAGGCCAUGGUGGCAAAGUAUAGCAAAUAAACACUGGAAUAGUAGGAUGUGCAGAGGAUGAAUGUGCAAGUUGAGAUACUGGGGUGCAAAGGAGCAAGAUAAAUAAAUAAAUACAGUAUGGGGAUGAGGUAGAUUGGAUGGGAUAUUUACAGAUGAGCUAUGUACAGGUGCAGUGAUCAUCUUAACCACAUUAUAUUGUGUUUCAUUUUGGUGUCUCUGGACUAUGUUCAAAUUCAUAGUUGCCUAACAGGGAUCAAAUAGAAUUGAAUGUAAUUGAAUUUCCUCAAACAUAGUUUGUGUGUGUGAAUAGUGUUGUUUCAUCCCAACUCCACUUAGCUGUAGCUCCAGUUUAUACUAUUGUGCAUUCUCCAUACAUUGGUAAUGAUCUUGUUGUAUUAGCUACAUUACAAUAGUUUUUCCCUCCUAUUGAUUUGAUCUGUAUAUAUUCCACAGCCCUGAAAAUCCACAUAUCCCAGAGCACAGCUGAGAUCCUCACUCAGAUAGGCUCCUUUGAGCUGGAGGAGAGAGGAGACAUUGAGAUAAAGGGAAAGGGCUGUCAGAAGACCUUCUGGCUGUUGGGUAAAGAAGGCUUCAACCCUCCUCUACCAGUCCACACCUCUCCCCCAGCUUCAUGUCUCAAACCACCAACUGAGGUCAAACCAGCAACAUCCAAAGACCAAGAGAGCAAAGCGAGGGGAAGAGGACAGAGAACUCUGACCACUUUCACAUGACCAAGGCACGCACGCUGACUGCAGGGAGAGGAUGACCUACAGGCGAACUCAGGCCACACUGAAAGUCUUUCUUUUUUUUGCCAACAUGGUUGUUAAUGGCAGCUAUUUUUCUAGUAAUGAUCUUGUUUAGUACAUUAAUACAAAGAUGAAUUAGUCAUCACAUUACUGGUUUCUGGAUUUGUUCACAUGAAAACGGGUCAUUUCUUAGCAGAAUAAUUUAUUUGCAGAAAGGGCAUUUUACAUGUUUUGUUGUCACAUGCCUUUGUUAUACGAGGUUUGAAUGGAAUGUAGUUACACGUAAAUGAAUGUAUGUGGAGAUGUGUACUUUUUGUCAACAAGGUUAGAAUUAAUUUAAUAUAUAAAAUAGACUAAUGGGGAACAAUUAUUGUACUUUUUAUUAUUUUGAAACAGGAUACUUGUACUGCAGGUUACAUUAAACAUUUAUAUUGUUAGAAUUGUAAAAGUAUGUACUGAUAACUAGAAGCGAUGAGAACAUGGGUGGAUGUUCUGUAAUGUCACUGUGAAUGUACUGCACAGUUUGUAAAGCUUAAUACAGUAUGGAAUGUGUACGUACACUCCCUGAGACCUGAUGAGCAUGUGUGCAUGUAUGUUUCUUUGUUUCCACGUGUGAUAGCACUUAAAUACACUACCGGUCAAAAGUUUUAGAACACCUACUCAUUCAAGGGUAUUUCUUUAUUUUUACUAUUUUCAACAUUGUAGAAUGAUAGUGAAGGCAUCAACACCAUGGAAUAACACAUAUGGAAUCAAGUAGUAACCAAAUUAGUGUGAAACAAAUCAAAAAUCUAUUUCAUAUUUGAGAUUCUUCAAAAAGACACCACUCUUGGCAUUCUCUCAAGCAGAUUCAUGAGGUAGUCACCUGGAAUGCAUUUCAGUUAACAGGUGUGCAUUCUUAAAAGUUAAUUUGUGUAAUUUCUUUCCUUAAUGCAUUUGAGCCAAUCAGUUGUGUUGUGACAAGGUAGGGGGGUAUACAGUAGUAUACAGCCCUAUUUGGUAAAAGACCAAAUACACAUUAUGGCAAGAACUGCUCAAAAAAGCAAAGAGAAGUGACAGUCCAUCAUUACUUUAAGUUAUGAAGGUCAGUCAUUUCAAGAAUUUUGAAAGUUUCUUCAAGUGCAGUCGCAAAAACCAUCAAGCGCUAUGAUGAAACUGGCUCUCAUGAGGAUUGGCACAGUUAAGGUAAGACUCAGAGUUACCUCUACUGCAGAGGGUAAGUUAAUUAGAGUUACCAGCCUC
RNAcentral lists this long non-coding RNA (2193 nucleotides) under Oncorhynchus mykiss (rainbow trout). RNAcentral describes it as "lncRNA (ENSOMYG00000057391.1)". Lineage: Eukaryota; Metazoa; Chordata; Actinopteri; Salmoniformes; Salmonidae. The record is from RNAcentral.